This 630-nucleotide ribosomal RNA is filed under the name Halammohydra vermiformis. RNAcentral's name for it is "partial large subunit ribosomal RNA". It matches the Rfam family "Bacterial large subunit ribosomal RNA", at positions 1796 to 2620 of the family's 2925-position model. Lineage: Eukaryota; Metazoa; Cnidaria; Hydrozoa; Actinulida; Halammohydridae. The record is from RNAcentral.
UCGACUGUUUUACCAAAAACAUAGCUUAUAGUGAAUAUAUUAUAAUUAUAGGUGGGACUUGGUCAAUGGAUUGAUUUUUUAAAAUCAAUUUAAAUUCAAGCUUUAGCGUGAGAGUAAUAAUGUAGCGUAAUUAUUUGGUAUUUAAUUGGUGCCUGGUAUGAAUAGUGAAACGAUUCUAAUACUGUCUCUGUAUCUAAUUAAAUGAAUUUUAAUUGAUAGUUAAGAUGCUAUCUUUUAUAAGAAAGACGAAAAGUCCCUAUAAACCUUUACUAAAAUCUAGGAUUUUAUUUUAAAAAAUCCUAGAAAUUUAGUUUAACUGGGGCAGUUACACUUUAUAAUAAAAAGUAUUUUUAUUUGUAAUAAUUUUAUUAUUUUACAAAAGUCUAAUAUUUAAUAUUAAUUAAAAGACUAUUAUCAUAAUAAUGACCUUAUAUUUAAACUAAAACAAAAAUAUAAUUUAAAAGAUAAAAGGUACUUUAGGGAUAACAGCGUAGUUUUAAGAGAGAGUAUGAAAUCAAUCUUAAAGUUCGCGACCUCGAUGUUGAAUAAGGUUUUCCCUCUAGUGUAGAUAUUAGAAAAGGUUAGUUUGUUCAACUAUUAAAAACUUACAUGAUUUGAGUUCCAUCCGUA